CAGCAGCCACGGUAAUACGAGGGGGGCUAGCGUUGUUCGGAAUUACUGGGCGUAAAGCGCACGUAGGCGGAUAUUUAAGUCAGGGGUGAAAUCCCAGAGCUCAACUCUGGAACUGCCUUUGAUACUGGGUAUCUUGAGUAUGGAAGAGGUGAGUGGAAUUCCGAGUGUAGAGGUGAAAUUCGUAGAUAUUCGGAGGAACACCAGUGGCGAAGGCGGCUCACUGGUCCAUUACUGACGCUGAGGUGCGAAAGCGUGGGGAGCAAACAGGAUUAGAGACCCCAGUAGUCCCUGUCUCUUAUAC
This 301-nucleotide ribosomal RNA is filed under the name uncultured bacterium. Its description in RNAcentral is "partial 16S ribosomal RNA". It matches the Rfam family "Bacterial small subunit ribosomal RNA", at positions 509 to 807 of the family's 1533-position model. The record is from RNAcentral.